AUUGAACGCUGGCGGCAGGCCUAACACAUGCAAGUCGAACGAGUGGCGGACGGGAGAGUAAUGUCUGUAAAACUGCCUGAUGGAGGGGGAUAACUCCUGGAACCGGUAGCUAAUACCGCAUACCAUCAGAUGUUACCAGGUGGGAUUAGCUUGUGGGUGGGGUAACGGCUCACCAAGGCGACGAUCCCUAGCUGGUCUGAGAGGAUGAACAGCCACACUGGAACUGAGACACGGUCCAGACUCCUACGGGAGGCAGCAGUGGGGAAUAUUGCGCAAUGGGCGCAAGCCUGAUGCAGCCAUGCCGCGUGUAUGAAGAAGGCCUUCGGGUUGUAAAGCACUGUCAGCGGGGAGGCGGUACCCGCAGAAGAAGCACCGGCUAACUCCGUGCCAGCCGCCGCGGUAAUUC
RNAcentral lists this ribosomal RNA (406 nucleotides) under uncultured bacterium. RNAcentral's name for it is "partial 16S ribosomal RNA". It matches the Rfam family "Bacterial small subunit ribosomal RNA", at positions 30 to 526 of the family's 1533-position model. The record is from RNAcentral.